GACGAACGCUGGCGGCGUGCCUAAUACAUGCAAGUUGAGCGCUGAAGGUUGGUACUUGUACCAACUGGAUGAGCAGCGAACGGGUGAGUAACGCGUGGGGAAUCUGCCUUUGAGCGGGGGACAACAUUUGGAAACGAAUGCUAAUACCGCAUAAAAACUUUAAACACAAGUUUUAAGUUUGAAAGAUGCAAUUGCAUCACUCAAAGAUGAUCCCGCGUUGUAUUAGCUAGUUGGUGAGGUAAAGGCUCACCAAGGCGAUGAUACAUAGCCGACCUGAGAGGGUGAUCGGCCACAUUGGGACUGGGAAACGGCCCAAACUCCUACGGGAGGCAGCAGGAGGGAAUCUUCGGCAAUGGACGAAAGUCUGACCGAGCAACGCCGCGUGAGUGAAGAAGGUUUUCGGAUCGUAAAACUCUGUUGGUAGAGAAGAACGUUGGUGAGAGUGGAAAGCUCAUCAAGUGACGGUAACUACCCAGAAAGGGACGGCUAACUACGUG
RNAcentral lists this ribosomal RNA (497 nucleotides) under uncultured bacterium. RNAcentral's name for it is "partial 16S ribosomal RNA". It matches the Rfam family "Bacterial small subunit ribosomal RNA", at positions 28 to 507 of the family's 1533-position model. The record is from RNAcentral.